GGGUGAGUAACGCGUGGGUAACCUGCCCUGUACACACGGAUAACAUACCGAAAGGUAUGCUAAUACGGGAUAAUAUGCUUUAGUCGCAUGGCUGAAGUAUCAAAGCUCCGGCGGUACAGGAUGGACCCGCGUCUGAUUAGCUAGUUGGUAAGGUAAUGGCUUACCAAGGCGACGAUCAGUAGCCGACCUGAGAGGGUGAUCGGCCACAUUGGAACUGAGACACGGUCCAAACUCCUACGGGAGGCAGCAGUGGGGAAUAUUGCACAAUGGGCGAAAGCCUGAUGCAGCAACGCCGCGUGAGCGAUGAAGGCCUUCGGGUCGUAAAGCUCUGUCCUCAAGGAAGAUAAUGACGGUACUUGAGGAGGAAGCCCCGGCUAACUACGUGCCAGCAGCCGCGGUAAUACGUAGGGGGCUAGCGUUAUCCGGAAUUACUGGGCGUAAAGGGUGCGUAGGUGGUUUCUUAAGUCAGAGGUGAAAGGCUACGGCUCAACCGUAGUAAGCCUUUGAAACUGAGAAACUUGAGUGCAGGAGAGGAGAGUAGAAUUCCUAGUGUAGCGGUGAAAUGCGUAGAUAUUAGGAGGAAUACCAGUUGCGAAGGCGGCUCUCUGGACUGUAACUGACACUGA
Molecule: ribosomal RNA, 626 nt
Filed under: uncultured bacterium
Lineage: Bacteria
Description: bacterial SSU rRNA
Rfam family: Bacterial small subunit ribosomal RNA
Source: RNAcentral